This 384-nucleotide ribosomal RNA is filed under the name Porcellana sayana. Its description in RNAcentral is "eukaryotic LSU rRNA". It matches the Rfam family "Eukaryotic large subunit ribosomal RNA", at positions 57 to 333 of the family's 3401-position model. The record is from RNAcentral. Lineage: Eukaryota; Metazoa; Arthropoda; Malacostraca; Decapoda; Porcellanidae.
AAAAGAAACCAACAGGGAUUCCCUUAGUAAGGGCGACUGAACAGGGAGGAGCCCAGCGCAUAAGCUCGACGACCCCCGCGGUCAAACGCGGGGUGUCUUCUGUGCUCUGUCGAGCGGUGUUGCGUAAGGAUCUCCCCCGCGUGGCGAGGUCGUGCGGGUUGAGCUCCGAGACUGUCAAGUUGAAGCUGUGAUCCUAUACCGCCCCAGACGGUGUUAGACCCAUGGCAAGGAGCGCCACCGUAAGGUGGUUAAGACCCCACGAGUACGCCUACUCCCCUUCUCUGGAGGGGAGGAGGGGUGAGACUCCGGUUGAGUCGGGUUGCCUGGAAUGGCAGCCUAAAGACAGGUGGUAAACUCCAUCUAAGGCUAAAUACUCGCACGAGA